Molecule: ribosomal RNA, 301 nt
Filed under: uncultured bacterium
Lineage: Bacteria
Description: partial 16S ribosomal RNA
Rfam family: Bacterial small subunit ribosomal RNA
Source: RNAcentral
CAGUCGCCACGGUAAUACGAAGGGGGCUAGCGUUGCUCGGAAUGACUGGGCGUAAAGGGCGCGUAGGCGGCGAUCAAAGUCAGGCGUGAAAUUCCUGGGCUCAACCUGGGGGCUGCGCUUGAUACUUGGUUGCUUGAGUGGGGAAGAGGGUCGUGGAAUUCCCAGUGUAGAGGUGAAAUUCGUAGAUAUUGGGAAGAACACCGGUGGCGAAGGCGGCGACCUGGUCCUUGACUGACGCUGAGGCGCGAAAGCGUGGGGAGCAAACAGGAUUAGAGACCCCCGUAGUCCCUGUCUCUUAUAC